RNAcentral lists this ribosomal RNA (449 nucleotides) under uncultured Methanolinea sp. Its description in RNAcentral is "bacterial SSU rRNA". It matches the Rfam family "Archaeal small subunit ribosomal RNA", at positions 889 to 1338 of the family's 1478-position model. Lineage: Archaea; Methanobacteriati; Methanobacteriota; Methanomicrobia; Methanomicrobiales; Methanoregulaceae. The record is from RNAcentral.
UGGAGCUUGCGGUUUAAUUGGAUUCAACGCCGGAAAUCUUACCGGGACGACAGCAAUAUGAAGGCCAGGCUGAAGACUUUGCCGGAUUAGCUGAGAGGUGGUGCACGGCCGUCGUCAGUUCGUACUGUGAAGCAUCCUGUUAAGUCAGGCAACGAGCGAGACCCACGCCCACAGUUGCCAGCGUACUCUCUGGAGUGACGGGUACACUGUGGGGACCGCCGCUGCUAAAGCGGAGGAAGGAAUGGGCAACGGUAGGUCAGCAUGCCCCGAAUUAUCUGGGCUACACGCGGGCUACAAUGGGUGGGACAAUGGGUAUCGACACCGAAAGGUGAAGGCAAUCUCCUAAACCCAUCCGUAGUUCGGAUUGUGGGCUGCAACUCGCCCACAUGAAGCUGGAAUCUGUAGUAAUCGUGUCUCAAAAUGGCACGGUGAAUAUGUCCCUGCUCCUU